Long non-coding RNA from Pan troglodytes (chimpanzee), 368 nucleotides. RefSeq lists it as uncharacterized. NCBI's taxonomy places the organism in Eukaryota, Metazoa, Chordata, Mammalia, Primates, Hominidae. The record is from RefSeq and is a predicted model, not a curated record. The transcript has 3 exons.
ACAGGAAGACGAGGUCCUCAAAUCCAUGCUGAAUCCUCCCAACAUCAUUGAGCUCUGCUGUGAACUGGCUGCUCUAGGCAGUGUCCUAGACUGAUGGCUUCUAAGAUACCUGCCACUGGAGUUUAUGGUCCUGGCCAUUCGUCUCUACAUUCAGUUUGGCCUUUGCUGAGUGUAUACUCAUGGUGCAGUUCAACAGAUGCUUCUCUCCUCUAUUUCCUGCAAAUUGGCAGCUGGAUCCAGAGGUUAAUUGGACUUCAGUUUGAUCUCACUGGCAAGACUACAGUUUCUGUGGGUCAGGAAUCCAAGAGUGGCUUACAUGGACGGUUCUGAAGUCAUCUGAAGGCUUGACUGGACUGGAAGAUUCACUU